This 468-nucleotide ribosomal RNA is filed under the name uncultured bacterium. Its description in RNAcentral is "partial 16S ribosomal RNA". It matches the Rfam family "Bacterial small subunit ribosomal RNA", at positions 28 to 507 of the family's 1533-position model. The record is from RNAcentral.
GACGAACGCUGGCGGCGUGCUUAACACAUGCAAGUCGAACGAUGAUGCCAGCUUGCUGGUGGAUUAGUGGCGAACGGGUGAGUAACACGUGAGCAACCUGCCCCUGACUUCGGGAUAACCGCGGGAAACCGUGGCUAAUACCGGAUAUGACGCGCUAUCGCAUGGUGGUGUGUGGAAAGAUUUAUCGGUUGGGGAUGGGCUCGCGGCCUAUCAGCUUGUUGGUGGGGUGGUGGCCUACCAAGGCGACGACGGGUAGCCGGCCUGAGAGGGUGACCGGCCACACUGGGACUGAGACACGGCCCAGACUCCUACGGGAGGCAGCAGUGGGGAAGAUUGCACAAUGGGCGCAAGCCUGAUGCAGCGACGCCACGUGAGGGAUGACGGCCUUCGGGUUGUAAACCUCUUUCAGUAGGGAAGAAGGCCUUCGGGUUGACGGUACCUGCAGAAGAAGCGCCGGCUAACUACGUG